Molecule: ribosomal RNA, 497 nt
Filed under: uncultured bacterium
Lineage: Bacteria
Description: partial 16S ribosomal RNA
Rfam family: Bacterial small subunit ribosomal RNA
Source: RNAcentral
GAUGAACGCUGGCGGCGUGCCUAAUACAUGCAAGUCGAGCGAACAGACGAGGAGCUUGCUCCUCUGACGUUAGCGGCGGACGGGUGAGUAACACGUGGAUAACCUACCUAUAAGACUGGGAUAACUUCGGGAAACCGGAGCUAAUACCGGAUAAUAUAUUGAACCGCAUGGUUCAAUAGUGAAAGACGGUUUUGCUGUCACUUAUAGAUGGAUCCGCGCCGCAUUAGCUAGUUGGUAAGGUAACGGCUUACCAAGGCAACGAUGCGUAGCCGACCUGAGAGGGUGAUCGGCCACACUGGAACUGAGACACGGUCCCGACUCCUACGGGAGGCAGCAGUAGGGAAUCUUCCGCAAUGGGCGAAAGCCUGACGGAGCAACGCCGCGUGAGUGAUGAAGGUCUUCGGAUCGUAAAACUCUGUUAUUAGGGAAGAACAAAUGUGUAAGUAACUAUGAACGUCUUGACGGUACCUAAUCAGAAAGCCACGGCUAACUACGUG